This 706-nucleotide ribosomal RNA is filed under the name uncultured Ruegeria sp. RNAcentral describes it as "bacterial SSU rRNA". It matches the Rfam family "Bacterial small subunit ribosomal RNA", at positions 35 to 789 of the family's 1533-position model. The record is from RNAcentral. Lineage: Bacteria; Pseudomonadati; Pseudomonadota; Alphaproteobacteria; Rhodobacterales; Roseobacteraceae.
GCUGGCGGCAGGCCUAACACAUGCAAGUCGAGCGCGCCUUCGGGUGAGCGGCGGACGGGUUAGUAACGCGUGGGAACGUGCCCUUCUCUACGGAAUAGCCUCUGGAAACGGAGAGUAAUACCGUAUACGCCCUUUGGGGGAAAGAUUUAUCGGAGAAGGAUCGGCCCGCGUUAGAUUAGGUAGUUGGUGGGGUAACGGCCUACCAAGCCUACGAUCUAUAGCUGGUUUUAGAGGAUGAUCAGCAACACUGGGACUGAGACACGGCCCAGACUCCUACGGGAGGCAGCAGUGGGGAAUCUUAGACAAUGGGGGCAACCCUGAUCUAGCCAUGCCGCGUGAGUGAUGAAGGCCUUAGGGUCGUAAAGCUCUUUCGCCUGUGAUGAUAAUGACAGUAGCAGGUAAAGAAACCCCGGCUAACUCCGUGCCAGCAGCCGCGGUAAUACGGAGGGGGUUAGCGUUGUUCGGAAUUACUGGGCGUAAAGCGCGCGUAGGCGGAUUAGAAAGUUGGGGGUGAAAUCCCGGGGCUCAACCCCGGAACUGCCUCCAAAACUGCUAGUCUAGAGUUCGAGAGAGGUGAGUGGAAUUCCGAGUGUAGAGGUGAAAUUCGUAGAUAUUCGGAGGAACACCAGUGGCGAAGGCGGCUCACUGGCUCGAUACUGACGCUGAGGUGCGAAAGUGUGGGGAGCAAACAGGAUUAGAUACCCUG